This 363-nucleotide long non-coding RNA is filed under the name Mytilus galloprovincialis (Mediterranean mussel). Lineage: Eukaryota; Metazoa; Mollusca; Bivalvia; Mytilida; Mytilidae. The record is from RNAcentral.
GCCUUAUUAUUAAAUCUCCAGGCGAGUGUGAUCAAAUAAAGAGGUUCUCUGUAAUACUUGGAAAAUCUUAUCUGAUUCAGGAUCAAUUCAUCGGUUACACUCCCCUAUCACCAGUGGUUCUUUGUUUUUAGCUGACAUUCUGAAAAAAAGGUGUGUAAGUGUUGACUCGCAAUUUGCAUGAUUAAUAACAGAUAUCGACUCGUUACCCGGACUACUGCAAAAACAAUAAUUCAGUUCACUGAUUUAGAUUGAAGGUAAACGGACAGAAAGUCGCAGGACAAAAAGUCACAGGACAUAGUCACAAAUUUGAUAGGACAAAAAGUCACAGGACAAAAAGUCACAAACAAAUUGUUGACAAUUGGC